CGGAGAUCGGGGACGCGGGGCGGGGGCUCUGCUACCGGGUCCGGAUCCGAGCCUUGUCAUUGUCAGAUACCUGGUGCUGCUUCUCUCUCCCUGCCCCUCGCUCAUCCUUGCGUGCGUGCGUGUCGGCCUUUCACUCCAAGCACUACACCGAGCCUUAUAUUUAUCCCCUUUCCCCUAGCGGACUUAUUCAGGUGCGUCACUAUCCUCCUAUUUCCCUCACCCUUGUCUUGUCCAGAGGAACCGUCCCCAAACUAGCCUCCGCUCGUGCUCACCGGCCAUUGGAGCCACAGCUCACCCAUCUUCUUGCGUCUGUAACUAGGAUUCUUGUUUGGAGCCCCGAGUCCGGCAGCUCAGGACCGGUUGCUGGAACCUCCGCAUUUUAGUGAAAAACUUCACAUGACGACCUGGCGAUUCAGCAAACGUCUUAGGAUCCGAGGAAUUUAUUAAGAAGGGAUUCCCAAGCAGAGCUGCGCCCCAGUCAAGGGAGGGCGUGGAUGAAAGAAGACCUCAGGGAGCAGGUGCAUUCUAGCACGAAUUGAAGAGAGAAAGCAAGAUCAUUUCCUAGAGACAUGGCAGGCUUGGGUAAAACUUAUGCAUAAUUAACCAGGAGUACCUGGCAGGAUAGGUUGGAUGGCUGGAGGCAAGAACAAAAGAUUCGAAGACUCCAAGUGAUUUGGAAAGAUGCCUUGACCCUUGAAGAAAGAGGGUCUCAAAAACCUGUGUGUUCUAAAAAGUUCAACAUGUAAGUUUCUCUCAGUGAUACCCUGGGGGUAUGGCUGGGUUUAACUGAUCUCUAACCUGUGGUACAGGCGACAAUAAGCACUAAGCACCUUAUAGUUUUCAAAUCUUUUAGGUAUCAUGCAUCCCAUUUUACAGAAGAGGAAAUGGGGGCACCCUUGACCAUAAAGAACAGGCCUAAGUGGUAGAAGGGGAACCUGAACCCAGGUAUGCUGUUUCUAGAUUUCAUGUAUUUCAGCUGGAACAUCCAGCAACCCGUUUUACUCAAAGGAAGAAAGGAAUGAUUUAGGAAAAGCUUUCAGUUUUCGUUUUUAAGUUCAUUUCAAGAAUAAAAGGCUACCUUCCUAACUACAGCAAAUCCUGUAAGUAAAUUAAGGAAGAUUUACUUAGGAGAGGCUCAAGGUGGCUUUAAGAUAUGGAUAAAAAUUAUUUAUAACUGGGAUAUCAUUCUGUAUUGUAAAUGAAUAGAAUUACUUAACAGUCUCUUUAGAAGUGUUGGCCUUCUCUCUGAAAUAUUUUCCACUAGUAAUUGAUUUAGCAAACUCUUACACAAUUAGGCCAAAGGCAAACUCUGGUCUUGUGUCUGACCUAGCACACAUUCCUGAUUAAUGGAUUUUAAUAAAUAAGGUUUGCUGCAGUUAUUUAACCAGUAUUUUCUUUUAGUGUUCUCUGGUUUCCCACUGUCUGUUUUAAAGUGAAAUCUAAUUUCCUUUCACAUCUGGACGGAGGGCCCAUGCUAACUUGCUAACUUGUGAAAGGGAUUAAGACUCAGGCACUUAAUUCAAGCCUAGGAAUGAUAAACCUAAAUGCAGGGCAGACAGGGAAAAAAAAUUUCUUUUCAUGUUCCCUUUGUCACUCCACAAACAGCCUAAGCUGUAGCCUGUAAAAAAUGUUGAUCUUAUAAUAAUUCCCACAUUUAGCAACCUCUUUGUUGCAUGAUCAGCUCACUUACAUAAUUGGAAAAAAUACAAUAAAAAGUUCAUUUCAAGCAAAAUAAUGGAAUUGGCUGUAAAUGAGUGUGCA
This 1761-nucleotide long non-coding RNA is filed under the name Marmota monax (woodchuck). The record is from RNAcentral. Lineage: Eukaryota; Metazoa; Chordata; Mammalia; Rodentia; Sciuridae.